RNAcentral lists this unclassified non-coding RNA (235 nucleotides) under uncultured fungus. Its description in RNAcentral is "sequence contains ITS1, 5.8S rRNA gene". The stretch from base 187 to 235 matches the Rfam family "5.8S ribosomal RNA", at positions 1 to 49 of the family's 154-position model. The record is from RNAcentral. Lineage: Eukaryota; Fungi.
UCUCCGUUGGUGAACCAGCGGAGGGAUCAUUACAGAGUUAUCCAACUCCCAAACCCAUGUGAACUUAUCUCUUUGUUGCCUCGGCGCAAGCUACCCGGGACCUCGCGCCCCGGGCGGCCCGCCGGCGGACAAACCAAACUCUGUUAUCUUAGUUGAUUAUCUGAGCGUCUUAUUUUAAUAAGUCAAAACUUUCAACAACGUAUCUCUUGGUUCUGGCAUCGAUGAAGAACGCAGC